Molecule: microRNA precursor, 96 nt
Filed under: Pelodiscus sinensis (Chinese soft-shelled turtle)
Lineage: Eukaryota; Metazoa; Chordata; Testudines; Trionychidae
Description: microRNA 599 (ENSPSIG00000019891.1)
Rfam family: mir-599 microRNA precursor family
Source: RNAcentral
AAAACACACUGUCCCCAGUGUGUUUGAUAAGCUGAUAUUAUAUGGGAGGUUUCGCCCCGCCCUCCGUUGUAUCAGUUUAUCAAACCCAUACCUGGA